RNAcentral lists this ribosomal RNA (374 nucleotides) under uncultured bacterium. RNAcentral describes it as "bacterial SSU rRNA". It matches the Rfam family "Bacterial small subunit ribosomal RNA", at positions 527 to 898 of the family's 1533-position model. The record is from RNAcentral.
GUAGGGGGCGAGCGUUGUCCGGAUUUAUUGGGCGUAAAAGGCUUGUAGGUGGCCACGCCAAGUCGGAUGUGAAAUCUCCCGGCUCAACUGGGAGGGGUCAUUCGAUACUGGCGGGCUCGAGGCCGGUAGGGGGAAGUGGAAUUCCCGGUGUAGUGGUGGAAUGCGUAGAUAUCGGGAGGAACACCAGUGGCGAAGGCGGCUUCCUGGACCGGUUCUGACACUGAGGAGCGAAAGCGUGGGGAGCGAUCCGGAUUAGAUACCCGGGUAGUCCACGCCGUAAACGUUGGGCACUAGGUGUCGGGGGUAUCGACCCCUCCGGUGCCGCAGCUAACGCAUUAAGUGCCCUGCCUGGGGAGUACGGCCGCAAGGCUAAA